GAGGAUGUAUCUCAGUUGGUAGAAUGCUUGCCUAGCAAGCACGAAGUCCUGGGUUUGAUCUCCAGUACCCCA
This 72-nucleotide transfer RNA is filed under the name Mus musculus (house mouse). RNAcentral describes it as "tRNA-Ala". The record is from RNAcentral. Lineage: Eukaryota; Metazoa; Chordata; Mammalia; Rodentia; Muridae.